This 519-nucleotide ribosomal RNA is filed under the name uncultured Planctomyces sp. Its description in RNAcentral is "bacterial SSU rRNA". It matches the Rfam family "Bacterial small subunit ribosomal RNA", at positions 63 to 591 of the family's 1533-position model. The record is from RNAcentral. Lineage: Bacteria; Pseudomonadati; Planctomycetota; Planctomycetia; Planctomycetales; Planctomycetaceae.
CGAGAACCUGGCUGUGGAGGCUUCGGCCAAAGCAGUCGGGGGACAGCGGCGAACGGGGUAGUAAGGCGUCGNUAACGUGCCCCCAGGACUGGGAUAGCCGCGGGAAACUGCGGGUAAUACCGGAUGAUCUCGCAAGAGCAAAGGUCCGCCGCCUGGGGAGCGGCCGACGUGGUACUAGCUAGUUGGUGAGGUAACGGCUCACCAAGGCGAAGAUGCCUAGGGGGUGUGAGAGCAUGGCCCCCACCACUGGGACUGAGACACUGCCCAGACACCUACGGGUGGCUGCAGUCGAGAAUCUUCGGCAAUGGGCGCAAGCCUGACCGAGCGACGCCGCGUGCGGGAUGAAGGCCCUUGGGUUGUAAACCGCUGUCAGAGGGGAGGAAAGCCUUCGGGUUUGACCGAGCCUCAAAGGAAGCACGGGCUAAAGUUCGUGCCAGCAGCCGCGGUAAUACGAACUGUGCGAACGUUAUUNCGGAAUCACUGGGCUUACAGGGGGGCGUAGGCGGCCGACCAGGUCAA